RNAcentral lists this ribosomal RNA (337 nucleotides) under Heteroctenus garridoi. Its description in RNAcentral is "partial 12S ribosomal RNA". The record is from RNAcentral. Lineage: Eukaryota; Metazoa; Arthropoda; Arachnida; Scorpiones; Buthidae.
GAAGAUGUAUAAAAAUUAGGUAGUAGUGGUGGACUUGAAACUUAAAAAAUUUGGCGGUGUUUUAAUCUAAUCAGAGGAACCUGUUUUAUAAUCGACAUUACUCGUUAUAUCUUACUUGGAAUAAAAGCUUGUAUAUCGUUGUAGUAAUAAUGCUUAUUAGAAAUUAUUAAAUGGAAUUUUAUUUUUCACAUCAGAUCAAGGUUCAGUUUAUAUCCAAGGAACAAAUGGGUUACAAUAUAGGAAUAUAUUAUGAAUUUUAUUUUGAAAAAGUAAAUGAAGGUGGAUUUGAAAGUAUUUUUAUUAUAAUGUGUUAAAUUGAAGUAGCUCUAAAACAUGC